UUUUGAUUGCAAAAUAUUCCAUCCUCUUCUUGAUUCUACCUUUCUAAACUAUCUGCAAUUUCUCAAACACCAAAAAAGAAAGAACGAGGAGGGGAGAGUCAACAAUUGAAGAUAGAAAGAAAAGGAGAAAGAUGAAGAAUGAGUUAACAAUUGCUUCGUAGAUGUCGUACCUUUUUUUUUGUCAAGUAGUCUAGUGGCUAGAGCUCACACAAUUUAAUUGUGGAGAAGUGGAGUGUCCGGGGUUCGAACCCUGACUCCUGCAUAUAAUAUGUAAUAUCCCUACCAACUGAGCUAAGCUCAUGGGGAUGUAGAUGUCGUAC
Molecule: long non-coding RNA, 320 nt
Filed under: Medicago truncatula (barrel medic)
Lineage: Eukaryota; Viridiplantae; Streptophyta; Magnoliopsida; Fabales; Fabaceae
Description: long non-coding RNA (MTRU_LNC001599)
Source: RNAcentral